Molecule: unclassified non-coding RNA, 174 nt
Organism: Apteryx haastii (Great spotted kiwi)
Lineage: Eukaryota; Metazoa; Chordata; Aves; Apterygiformes; Apterygidae
Source: Ensembl
CUGACAGCCCUGAGGACUGAAGCCCUCUCCUAACCACAGAAAAGAUAUAGUGAAAGCAGUGUGGGAUGUACCUCACCGCAUUGCCAUGCACAUGUAGGCCUCAGAAGGGUCACCUCUGGACUGGCAGAAGGAUUCAAUAUUACAUCCUUCACUGCUUAUCUCUGUUUGGAAAAG